UACGUAGGUGGCAAGCGUUAAUCGGAAUUACUGGGCGUAAAGCGCACGCAGGCGGUCUGUCAAGUCGGAUGUGAAAUCCCCGGGCUCAACCUGGGAACUGCAUCCGAAACUGGCAGGCUAGAGUCUUGUAGAGGGGGGUAGAAUUCCAGGUGUAGCGGUGAAUGCGUAGAGAUCUGGAGGAAGACCGGUGGCGAAGGCGGCCCCCUGGACAAAGACUGACGCUCAGGUGCGAAAGCGUGGGGAGCAAACAGGAUUAGAUACCCUGGUAGUCCACGCCGUAAACGAUGUCGACUUGGAGGUUGUGCCCUUGAGGCGUGGCUUCCGGAGCUAACGCGUUAAGUCGACCGCCUGGGGAGUACGGCCGCAAGGUUAAA
RNAcentral lists this ribosomal RNA (374 nucleotides) under uncultured bacterium. RNAcentral describes it as "bacterial SSU rRNA". It matches the Rfam family "Bacterial small subunit ribosomal RNA", at positions 524 to 898 of the family's 1533-position model. The record is from RNAcentral.